RNAcentral lists this ribosomal RNA (461 nucleotides) under uncultured bacterium. Its description in RNAcentral is "bacterial SSU rRNA". It matches the Rfam family "Bacterial small subunit ribosomal RNA", at positions 32 to 506 of the family's 1533-position model. The record is from RNAcentral.
AUCAACGCUGGCGGCGUGCCUAACACAUGCAAGUCGAACGCGAAAGCCCGCAAGGGUAAGUAGAGUGGCGCACGGGUGAGUAACACGUGGAUAACCUGCCUUCGAGUGGGGAAUAACCUUCCGAAAGGAGGGCUAAUACCGCAUAACACCUCGGGACACAAGUUCUGGGGUUGAAAAGAGCAAUUUGCUCGAAGAGGGGUCCGCGCCUGAUUAGCUAGUUGGUGAGGUAACGGCUCACCAAGGCUUCGAUCAGUAGCCGUCCUGAGAGGGAGCACGGCCACACUGGAACUGAGACACGGUCCAGACUCCUACGGGAGGCAGCAGUGGGGAAUUUUUGGCAAUGGGCGAAAGCCUGACCAAGCAACGCCGCGUGGGUGAUGAAGUAUCUUGGUACGUAAAACCCUUUCGGCAGGGACGAACCUAAUGACGGUACCUGCGGAAGAAGCCCCGGCUAACUCCGU